ACACCCUGCUUUAUUCAGAAAACCGGAAGCAAAACGACAGACCGUCAGGAUUCAGGAAGCAACAAACAUCAACAACUUUUGAAGGAGACUACAAAAGCUUUGAACACGAGAAAAGGUACAGGUACUCUACAAAAGCAAUGUUGAGCUUCAGGUUUGGUGCGAUGCAUCAACUAGCAGAAGCCAAAACCUUGUCAUCCUCAUUAGCACCCCCAGACUGCACAAGACAUGUUGCAGAUGAGCAAGCAUUUAUAUAUGCCUCACAUAUGUGAUAGCUGACAUACUACCAAAAGGUUCUUUAGUUAGUACCUUCAUCAGAUAAUGAAAUAUGAUUAGCAGCCCUGUAAGCAAUUAAAUUAUGGUCCUGUGGUUAAAUUCUGGAUGCAAGGAACAUAAUUACAAGAGUCUGGAAGGAAUUGCCCCACCAAGGAUCUACUGGAGGUGCCUCAAAUCUGAUCUAGGCCUACUUGUUAAUAGGGUCAAAGACAAGCUAAGACCCUACCUUGUUAAUUUUAUACAGCCUUGAGCUUUGUGUUUUCGGUGGUUGUACUGGGGUCUUAAGCCCCACACAUGCAUACAUUUUAUUUAUGGAAUAUUUAUGUCAACUACUAAAUGCAUACGUGCAGCGCAUGUUGAUAUUAGCCGCUAUAUAUAUAUAUAUAUAUAUAUAUAUAGUUCUAUGGCAAGCUAUGAUAGAAUGUAAUAUAAUAUAGGUACAUAUAUAUAUAUAUAAUGUAAUAUAAUAUACUACUAAUCGUGUAUGUGCACGCACAUCUAGUUUGGCAGUAAUACUAUUUCCAAAAUUAACCAUAAUUAAUGUUGAUUUCAAUAUUAAUUGUGUUUAAUGCAAUUAAUGUCUUUUCCAAAUUAUUGAUGAUGUGAUAGAUACAUCAUUGGAGCAGCGUGAGACGUUGGAUAUAGGUGGUUGGAUGGCUCAGAUUAUUUGGAUUCACCAAACUCAUGCUUUUAUUAGUACAAGUAGAUUUAUUUAUGACAAUGCCACUAGGAAUGCCAUUCACCAAACUCAUUUCUCUUUCUUUCUUGCCAUGCAGUGAUGCUACCGGCUGGUCAAAACAGCCUGGGUUGAGAUGAAAAUAGGUAAAAAGCCUUAAAUACCGUUUGUUAGCUGUCUACAAAGAGCAAAAGGGCAGGGAGGAAUUGGUAUUACCUGACUCUAAAACAGAGGGUACAGAAAAGAUAGCUAGCUACCAGGAGAAGAUUUUCGUGCUUGAAUCUGACGCAGAAUUGUUAUAAAUUUAUGCAUUACAACCCUGGAGCUAAUGUAGUCAGUUCAUACAGCAAUACUGUAAAAUUCUUGAGCCAUAAUGUACUGAGAUUCUGAGGUUUGCUACAACUGGAGUAUCUACAAUGCACAGUUUAGUAAGCAUAAUAACAAGGUUUUAUGAAUCCAUAGUCCAUCAGGUUUAAUGCAAUUAUGCUAUAUAUAUAGAAUCCAUAAGCUAACACAAGCAGGAUACAAUACACCCAUCAGCAUCUAGGCAUACUUCAGGCCAUGAGCAAGGAUUGUAUAUUUAGUGGGAACCUCCAAGACGAGCCUAGGCCCCUCACUUGACCUGGUUCCACGCGCGCAGCCAGCCAUUGUCCCCACUCACGCACCCACGUCACCGUCUGGUUCCAUUCCCAGAGCCAGCCGUCAGUCAUGCUCAAUUACACAUGCCACGUCCGUACCAAGGAAGCUUGUGCUGCAGCCUCGCCUGACUCACUGAACUUGGCAAGGGAUUUUGGAGAAGGGGAUUCAAUCGGGAGGUGAGUAGAGCACACAAUUGAGAGGGCUGUGUGGUGGGGGCAUGUGCUCCAGUGACUAGUACAAGCUGGGUCAAUAUGAGUUAAUGAGGUAGUUUCCGAACCAAUAUAGUCCAGGCUGGUCAAUACAUCAGCAUAGCAAAAACGGAAGACAUAAUAUAGACAGACCUGUUUGUCCUGCCUUUACUUAUUGUGUUGGAACCUGUUUGGUUAAGAUUGUUAGUUUGGCUCUCGUUUGUUGCAUCUUACUGUAGGGGCUGUGUAGCCUGGGAUGUAAGUGUAGAGGGUUGUGUUGGUUGCAUUUGUGACUCCAUUUUCUUUAAUCUUUGAUAUGGCAUUCUCAUAAAUGGGAGAAAAGCAAUGUCACAUUUAUAGUUUCAGAGUCAACUAGUGGCAUUGAAAUUAAAUUCCAUUUAUUUACUGAUAUAACACAGGCUGCACAGUAGAAGCCUGUUUUAAUGCUGAUCUUAAAUGUUAACCAAAGCCUUCACCAUUCUCGCCGGCAAAACAGAACCGAAAGCCAAGCCACACCUUGCUGUUGGAGGAAAGAAUGUAACACGGAGGAUGAGGCAGACAGAGUAAGCAUGAGGCGGGCGAUGGAGAUGGGCAGCCAGCUGCCCCGCCGAGCAGGGCUGAGUUAAGCAUCAGUUCCCGUGGGAAGCAGAGCCCAGCCUGACGGUAUUUGUGAUCUACAAGCUUGGGUGAGCAUAGGCAUUUGAGGGCAGAGGUUAGGUCGGACCACUUCAUGGACGAGUCAGGACAUGGACACUCUUUAGUAUUAGCAUUCCAAUCUGGAACGCCAUUCCGUCCAGAAACAGAACCUACGUUGCCAUUUUGGAGAAGAAAAAUAACAUCAAAAGAGACAUUCUUAAUACUUUGUGCCUUAGGGUCAUAGUAAUACAGGAACAGUAUGGUAUACCUUUUCAGCAGAAUGGGCCAAGGAAUUAAGCAGUACAGGCCAUAAAAAAUCUAAGAAGGUGAAUGAGGCGAACUGUUUGUUUCUGCAGAAAAACAACAUAGUGGAGCGUGUCAAGCAAAAUGUAAAAGAGUACAAGUACAUAACAGAAGGAAUGAAUAGUUUGCUAUUUCCUGAAAGAAGUAGAAGUGAAAACAUGAGAUUUUCGCUGGAGCAAAAUCUAAGAAGAAUGAAUUCACAUAUUGACAACCGCAAGCUAAGGAAAUAUUCUCGUUACACCAAAGAAAAGAGCUAUAGUAAUUACAUAUACCCAAUUGCAUGUUCUGGCAGCUCUCAUCAGUUUGAUCAGUGAUGAUAAAAUGAGGAUAUAAUAGGCUCAAAGACGACUUUAAUAUCUGGCAACCUUAAAGAUGCAAAAUUGAAUGCUACCCUGAAUCCACUUCACUUCAGGUUGGCUGCAAAAGAGAAACCAUUUAUCAAGAUUCAAGAAACAGGCAAACAAAAAUAUCAAACCUCAACAAUCAGUUUGGCAGCAAGAUGCAGUUUUCUUGGCAAGAGAAAGAAGACUUUAAUCUUUUAAUGUUUCAGGAGCAGGUAAUAUAUUCUACGAUAAAAAUCUAUUCUGUUCCUUGUGAAUCAAGCAAAUCAGGCCCUAGCUCAACCAAGCUCGGUCCACAAGAAUUCACUGACAAAAGAAAGCUCAAAACUCACUUAUCUUUAUAGAAAAGCCUCCAUGAUAUAUAACGAAACAAUUCCUCAUUUAACACUAUCUUAAAUUUCCUUUCUUUAUUUGACACUGAAAAACUUUUUCUUCCCUAUCUAACAAUGAGUCCAAAUUUUAUGCCCUUCAUGACACUUCCGUCCAUUUUGGGCCUAAAUGACACCUGAAAAGACCCUUUUGCCCCUAUCUUUUCAGGUGUCAUUUAUGCUUAAAAUGGACAGAAGUGUUAUAAAAGGCAUAAAAUUUAGACUCGUUGUUAGAUAGGGAAGAAAUCAUUUGUCGAUGUCAAAUAGGGCAUAAAAUUUAAACAUGAUAUUAAGUAAGGAAUUCUCUCAUACUCAUGAGGGGCAAAAGGGCCUUUUCAGGUGUAAUUUAUGCUUAAAAUAGACAGAAGUGUCAUAAAAGGCAUAAAAUUUAGACUUGGUGUUAGAUAGGGAAGAAAUCAUUUGUCGAUGUCAAUAGGGCAUAAAAUUUAAACACGAUGUUAAAUAAGGAAUUCUCUCAAGCUUAGUAUGACUUUGUACUGAAGUUAGUACAAAGUUGAGACACUUAUUUUGGGACGGAGGGAGUAUAUAAAUACAAAAUCCUCUUAAUGGUCUUGUGUGUGGUUAGUGUCUUGGUGCAUAGGUUAUAUCUCCCAAUGGAAGAACUCAAAUAAGCAUAAGAAAGAUGGUAAACAUUAUUAAGUGAAAUAUAAUUGGUAUUUAGUUGGUUCUACAAAAUUUCUUGUGGUUGAAAGUUGAAAGUAAGGACUUCACUUAAGAUGCUCUUGGCUUUUAGAGCAUGGUUAGGUCAAAUUUAAGUAUAUCUGCUUUAUUUGUCCUUUGGGCUCAAGUGCAUCCCCUUUAUGCAUUUUUUUCUAUAACACAUACAUAUAAAAUAACAUGUAUUUCAGUACACGACACUCUCAAAGUUCCACAAUAUGUUCUCUAGACAAUAGCCAACUUGCAUUGAUGGAAUCACCAGUGCAUUUAUUAAGAGGUUAUGCACACCUCUAUGAGGAGUCGGUGUUCUAAAAGACAGUUGCUUAGCCCUUCGCCAAACCCAAGGUCCCACCCCGCCACCUAAGGAGAGAUGUACUGAUAGUUACCAAGACCGUGGGUCGAACAGGUCACAGAAAAAGGUUGAGUAGCUAGAGAAGUGAUCAUGAUCCGAGUGAAGCCAGGCCAAACGACCCUAACUACCUGGCCACAAAACCAAUUGCUAGUAAGAAUGCAAUAUCAAUAAUAUAUUCCCUCUGUUUCACUAUCUCUAGCCAUGGCCCUAACAUUAUUUGCUUUAAAGUACUUGUCAAUCUAGGGAAUGAAGAGUGUAGUUAUUGUAAUGUUUCCACUCUACCUUUUCUGUACUAAUUUUGAAAAUGUCAAGUAGGUGUAGCAUAUCAUUAAGUAAGGGUAUGGCUAUUUAUCUCUCUUGUUCUCGCCUAGUUAUUGUGCAAGUCUUUUUCCCAGCAUCAUGGCAAGAACAUUGAACAAGGGUCGACCGCUAGACUUGCAAACUUGUGGAAAGAUAAUAGUGAAAUGGGGCAUUGUACGAUGUCAUACCAUGUACCUAGUCUCAACUAUGUGAAAAUAAC
Molecule: long non-coding RNA, 4974 nt
Filed under: Triticum aestivum (bread wheat)
Lineage: Eukaryota; Viridiplantae; Streptophyta; Magnoliopsida; Poales; Poaceae
Description: long non-coding RNA (TAES_LNC019608)
Source: RNAcentral